RNAcentral lists this small RNA (194 nucleotides) under Gordonia effusa NBRC 100432. RNAcentral's name for it is "Actinobacteria sRNA Ms_IGR-5". It matches the Rfam family "Actinobacteria sRNA Ms_IGR-5". The record is from Rfam by way of RNAcentral. Lineage: Bacteria; Bacillati; Actinomycetota; Actinomycetes; Mycobacteriales; Gordoniaceae.
ACACACGGAAGGAGGUGGUCUGAAGUUGAUUGACAAACGGACACGUGAGGUGGUCAUCCGCUAGAGCGGUCACGCUGUAAUUCGUUUACGCGCAAGCGCUUUGGCGAAUUCCAGAUGAUCACCCGGCCCUCGCAUCACGACCCAGUCCGGUCGUAUUACUCCCGUCAACGGGAGUGGUGCGGGGGCCGUUUCAU